UUAAGCGACUAAGCGUACACGGUGGAUGCCCUGGCAGUCAGAGGCGAUGAAGGACGUGCUAAUCUGCGAUAAGCGUCGGUAAGGUGAUAUGAACCGUUAUAACCGGCGAUUUCCGAAUGGGGAAACCCAGUGUGUUUCGACACACUAUCAUUAACUGAAUCCAUAGGUUAAUGAGGCGAACCGGGGGAACUGAAACAUCUAAGUACCCCGAGGAAAAGAAAUCAACCGAGAUUCCCCCAGUAGCGGCGAGCGAACGGGGAGGAGCCCAGAGCCUGAAUCAGUGUGUGUGUUAGUGGAAGCGUCUGGAAAGGCGCGCGAUACAGGGUGACAGCCCCGUACACAAAAAUGCACAUGCUGUGAGCUCGAUGAGUAGGGCGGGACACGUGGUAUCCUGUCUGAAUAUGGGGGGACCAUCCUCCAAGGCUAAAUACUCCUGACUGACCGAUAGUGAACCAGUACCGUGAGGGAAAGGCGAAAAGAACCCCGGCGAGGGGAGUGAAAAAGAACCUGAAACCGUGUACGUACAAGCAGUGGGAGCACGCUUAGGCGUGUGACUGCGUACCUUUUGUAUAAUGGGUCAGCGACUUAUAUUCUGUAGCAAGGUUAACCGAAUAGGGGAGCCGAAGGGAAACCGAGUCUUAACUGGGCGUUAAGUUGCAGGGUAUAGACCCGAAACCCGGUGAUCUAGCCAUGGGCAGGUUGAAGGUUGGGUAACACUAACUGGAGGACCGAACCGACUAAUGUUGAAAAAUUAGCGGAUGACUUGUGGCUGGGGGUGAAAGGCCAAUCAAACCGGGAGAUAGCUGGUUCUCCCCGAAAGCUAUUUAGGUAGCGCCUCGUGAAUUCAUCUCCGGGGGUAGAGCACUGUUUCGGCAAGGGGGUCAUCCCGACUUACCAACCCGAUGCAAACUGCGAAUACCGGAGAAUGUUAUCACGGGAGACACACGGCGGGUGCUAACGUCCGUCGUGAAGAGGGAAACAACCCAGACCGCCAGCUAAGGUCCCAAAGUCAUGGUUAAGUGGGAAACGAUGUGGGAAGGCCCAGACAGCCAGGAUGUUGGCUUAGAAGCAGCCAUCAUUUAAAGAAAGCGUAAUAGCUCACUGGUCGAGUCGGCCUGCGCGGAAGAUGUAACGGGGCUAAACCAUGCACCGAAGCUGCGGCAGCGACGCUUAUGCGUUGUUGGGUAGGGGAGCGUUCUGUAAGCCUGUGAAGGUGUGCUGUGAGGCAUGCUGGAGGUAUCAGAAGUGCGAAUGCUGACAUAAGUAACGAUAAAGCGGGUGAAAAGCCCGCUCGCCGGAAGACCAAGGGUUCCUGUCCAACGUUAAUCGGGGCAGGGUGAGUCGACCCCUAAGGCGAGGCCGAAAGGCGUAGUCGAUGGGAAACAGGUUAAUAUUCCUGUACUUGGUGUUACUGCGAAGGGGGGACGGAGAAGGCUAUGUUGGCCGGGCGACGGUUGUCCCGGUUUAAGCGUGUAGGCUGGUUUUCCAGGCAAAUCCGGAAAAUCAAGGCUGAGGCGUGAUGACGAGGCACUACGGUGCUGAAGCAACAAAUGCCCUGCUUCCAGGAAAAGCCUCUAAGCAUCAGGUAACAUCAAAUCGUACCCCAAACCGACACAGGUGGUCAGGUAGAGAAUACCAAGGCGCUUGAGAGAACUCGGGUGAAGGAACUAGGCAAAAUGGUGCCGUAACUUCGGGAGAAGGCACGCUGAUAUGUAGGUGAAGUCCCUCGCGGAUGGAGCUGAAAUCAGUCGAAGAUACCAGCUGGCUGCAACUGUUUAUUAAAAACACAGCACUGUGCAAACACGAAAGUGGACGUAUACGGUGUGACGCCUGCCCGGUGCCGGAAGGUUAAUUGAUGGGGUCAGCGCAAGCGAAGCUCUUGAUCGAAGCCCCGGUAAACGGCGGCCGUAACUAUAACGGUCCUAAGGUAGCGAAAUUCCUUGUCGGGUAAGUUCCGACCUGCACGAAUGGCGUAAUGAUGGCCAGGCUGUCUCCACCCGAGACUCAGUGAAAUUGAACUCGCUGUGAAGAUGCAGUGUACCCGCGGCAAGACGGAAAGACCCCGUGAACCUUUACUAUAGCUUGACACUGAACAUUGAGCCUUGAUGUGUAGGAUAGGUGGGAGGCUUAGAAGUGUGGACGCCAGUCUGCAUGGAGCCGACCUUGAAAUACCACCCUUUAAUGUUUGAUGUUCUAACGUUGACCCGUGAUCCGGGUUGCGGACAGUGUCUGGUGGGUAGUUUGACUGGGGCGGUCUCCUCCUAAAGAGUAACGGAGGAGCACGAAGGUUGGCUAAUCCUGGUCGGACAUCAGGAGGUUAGUGCAAUGGCAUAAGCCAGCUUGACUGCGAGCGUGACGGCGCGAGCAGGUGCGAAAGCAGGUCAUAGUGAUCCGGUGGUUCUGAAUGGAAGGGCCAUCGCUCAACGGAUAAAAGGUACUCCGGGGAUAACAGGCUGAUACCGCCCAAGAGUUCAUAUCGACGGCGGUGUUUGGCACCUCGAUGUCGGCUCAUCACAUCCUGGGGCUGAAGUAGGUCCCAAGGGUAUGGCUGUUCGCCAUUUAAAGUGGUACGCGAGCUGGGUUUAGAACGUCGUGAGACAGUUCGGUCCCUAUCUGCCGUGGGCGCUGGAGAACUGAGGGGGGCUGCUCCUAGUACGAGAGGACCGGAGUGGACGCAUCACUGGUGUUCGGGUUGUCAUGCCAAUGGCACUGCCCGGUAGCUAAAUGCGGAAGAGAUAAGUGCUGAAAGCAUCUAAGCACGAAACUUGCCCCGAGAUGAGUUCUCCCUGACUCCUUGAGGGUCCUGAAGGAACGUUGAAGACGACGACGUUGAUAGGCCGGGUGUGUAAGCGCAGCGAUGCGUUGAGCUAACCGGUACUAAUGAACCGUGAGGCUUAACCUU
Molecule: ribosomal RNA, 2902 nt
Filed under: Escherichia coli P0304777.1
Lineage: Bacteria; Pseudomonadati; Pseudomonadota; Gammaproteobacteria; Enterobacterales; Enterobacteriaceae
Description: bacterial LSU rRNA
Rfam family: Bacterial large subunit ribosomal RNA
Source: RNAcentral